RNAcentral lists this ribosomal RNA (253 nucleotides) under uncultured bacterium. Its description in RNAcentral is "partial 16S ribosomal RNA". It matches the Rfam family "Bacterial small subunit ribosomal RNA", at positions 524 to 776 of the family's 1533-position model. The record is from RNAcentral.
UACGAAGGGGGCUAGCGUUGCUCGGAAUCACUGGGCGUAAAGCGCACGUAGGCGGCUUUCUAAGUCAGGGGUGAAAUCCUGGAGCUCAACUCCAGAACUGCCUUUGAUACUGGGAAGCUCGAGUCCGGAAGAGGUGAGUGGAACUGCGAGUGGAGCGGUGAAAUGCGUAGAGAUCUGGAAGAACACCAAAGGCGAAGGCAGCGUCCUGGAUCGUUACUGACGCUCAUGUGCGAAAGCCAGGGGAGCGAACGGG